Molecule: non-coding RNA, 326 nt
Organism: Momordica charantia (bitter melon)
Lineage: Eukaryota; Viridiplantae; Streptophyta; Magnoliopsida; Cucurbitales; Cucurbitaceae
Source: RefSeq, a predicted model, not a curated record
GUUGUAAUUUCAACCCCACAUACAUCCCACUUCACGAAAAAGACUUUGUCGUAUUCAGAAGGAGCUUUAUUGUACUACCCACGAGGCUUUCACGAGUUGAGGAAGAUCAAGUGGUGUUGUCUUAUUGGGAUUACACGAAGAAGAGUUUCAAAGGACUUGAGUUGAGGAGGAGAAAAAGAGCAAAUAAAGAAGCAAAAUUGAGUCAAAUUCCAGUGCGUUGGGCACCUAGGCGUCGAAAAUUGACAAAAUGGCAGAAUGUUGGGCGCCUAGGCGCUCAUCUGGGUGCCUAGGCGCUACGAAUGUUGAAGCAUUGAUUUUACAUGCAC